UUCUAUAAGAACUAAUUUAUAGUAAAACCUGCUCAAUGUUUAUAUCAAUAGCCGCAGACUAACUGUGCUAAGGUAGCAUAAUCACUUGCUUCUUAAUUAGAAGAUAGAAUGAAAGGUUAAACACCCAGCUUCUGUCUCUUUAUAUAAAAUGAAUUUAAGAAUAAAGUAAAAACUCUUUUUUAGAAUAGUAGGACGAUAAGACCCCGAUAAACUUAUCUUUUAGUUGGGGAAACAUAAUAACUAUAAUUUAUUUUAAAAUCAUUUCACACCUAUAAAAAUUAAAAACGAUCCAGUUACUACGGGGAUAACAGCGCUAUUUCUUUUAAGAGACCUAAUCAAAAAAGAAGUUUACGACCUCGAUGUUGAAUUAGGAACCCCAAUACAAAGCAAAAAUUAUUAGGG
This 402-nucleotide ribosomal RNA is filed under the name Leptopholcus dschang. RNAcentral describes it as "partial 16S ribosomal RNA". It matches the Rfam family "Bacterial large subunit ribosomal RNA", at positions 1831 to 2571 of the family's 2925-position model. Lineage: Eukaryota; Metazoa; Arthropoda; Arachnida; Araneae; Pholcidae. The record is from RNAcentral.